AUACGUAGGGGGCGAGCGUUGUCCGGAAUGAUUGGGCGUAAAGGGCGCGUAGGCGGCCCGGUAAGUCUGGAGUGAAAGUCCUGUUUUUAAGAUGGGAAUUGCUUUGGAUACUGUCGGGCUUGAGUGCAGGAGAGGUAAGUGGAAUUCCCAGUGUAGCGGUGAAAUGCGUAGAGAUUGGGAGGAACACCAGUGGCGAAGGCGACUUACUGGACUGUAACUGACGCUGAGGCGCGAAAGUGUGGGGAGCAAACAGGAUUAGAUACCCUGGUAGUCCACGCCCUAAACGAUGAAUACUAGGUGUGGGGGGACUGACCCCUUCCGUGCCGGAGUAAACACAAUAAGUAUUCCACCUGGGGAGUACGACCGCAAGGUUGAAACUCAAAUGAAUUGGCGGGG
Molecule: ribosomal RNA, 396 nt
Filed under: uncultured bacterium
Lineage: Bacteria
Description: partial 16S ribosomal RNA
Rfam family: Bacterial small subunit ribosomal RNA
Source: RNAcentral